RNAcentral lists this transfer RNA (76 nucleotides) under Anaerolineaceae bacterium. RNAcentral describes it as "tRNA-Lys". Lineage: Bacteria; Bacillati; Chloroflexota; Anaerolineae; Anaerolineales; Anaerolineaceae. The record is from RNAcentral.
GAUGCAAUUGGGGUGAAACAGGCAUGAAACCUGAUUCUUAAUCAGCAGGUUCAGGGUUCGAUUCCUUGGUGCGUCA